AUUGAACGCUGGCGGCAUGCCUUACACAUGCAAGUCGAACGGUCAGCGCGGGAGCAAAUCCUGGCGGCGAGUGGCGAACGGGUGAGUAAUAUAUCGGAACGUGCCCAGUAGUGGGGGAUAGCCCGGCGAAAGCCGGAUUAAUACCGCAUGAGACCUGAGGGUGAAAGACGGGGGAUCGCAAGACCUCGCGCUAUUGGAGCGGCCGAUAUCAGAUUAGCUAGUUGGUGGGGUAAAGGCCUACCAAGGCAACGAUCUGUAGUUGGUCUGAGAGGACGACCAGCCACACUGGGACUGAGACACGGCCCAGACUCCUACGGGAGGCAGCAGUGGGGAAUUUUGGACAAUGGGCGCAAGCCUGAUCCAGCCAUGCCGCGUGAGUGAUGAAGGCC
This 389-nucleotide ribosomal RNA is filed under the name uncultured bacterium. RNAcentral describes it as "bacterial SSU rRNA". It matches the Rfam family "Bacterial small subunit ribosomal RNA", at positions 29 to 416 of the family's 1533-position model. The record is from RNAcentral.